Molecule: non-coding RNA, 1079 nt
Filed under: Polychrus femoralis
Lineage: Eukaryota; Metazoa; Chordata; Lepidosauria; Squamata; Polychrotidae
Description: partial contains 12S small subunit ribosomal RNA, tRNA-Val, and 16S large subunit ribosomal RNA
Rfam family: Bacterial small subunit ribosomal RNA (bases 1-943)
Source: RNAcentral
AACAUAAAGUUUUGGUCCUGUACUUAUUGCAUCUUUUAAUCAAAAUUACACAUGCAAGUAUCCACACACCAGUGAAAAUGCCCAAACCAACAAAAAAGGAGCCGGUAUCAGGCACGAAUUUCAGCCCAAGACACCUUGCUAUGCCACACCCACACGGGACACCAGCAGUGAUAAACAUUAAGCAAUGAGCAGCCCCCAAACUCGACUUAGUUAUGAUUAUUAGGGCCGGUCAACCUCGUGCCAGCCACCGCGGUUAUACGAGGGGCCCAAAACAGCAAACCCCGGCGUAAAUCGUGGCUAGAACACAGUGCGCCACUAGAGAGUCAAACUAUAAUCUAACCGUAAAACCCAGAUUAAAUGAAAACCCCUCCCUCUAUAAACCAGCAGCUUUGACCCCACGAAAACUAAGAAACAAACUAGGAUUAGAUACCCUACUAUGCUUAGUCAUAAACACGACACCACUUAACAACAGUGUCCGCCAGAGAAUUACGAGCGAAAAGCUUAAAACUCAAAGGACUUGGCGGUGCUCCAUACCAACUUAGAGGAGCCUGUCCUAUAACCGAUACUCCACGUUAAACCUUACCAUCUUUUGCCCCCAGCCUAUAUACCGCCGUCGCAAAUUCACCCCGCAAGGGCCCAACAGUAAGUACAACUGCUACCCCCAAAAACGUCAGGUCAAGGUGUAGCUAAUAAGAUGGCAGAGAUGGGCUACAUUUUUUAAAAUAAAACACCACGGCAUGGGACUAUGAAACACCCCCUAAAGGCGGAUUUAACAGUAAAAAAGGUAAGAAAGCCUUCUUUAAACUCGCUCUGGAGCGCGCACACACCGCCCGUCACCCUCCUCAACACCUGAUAAAAACUCCAUAAACCCCCAAACAAAACAAGAUGAGGCAAGUCGUAACAUGGUAAGUGUACUGGAAAGUGCACUUGGACUACAAAAAGUAGCCUAACACAAGGCACCUAACUUACAAUUAGACCACAUUAGAAUCUUUUUGCGCUAAAAAUCUAGCUCAACCACUAACACAAAAUAAUUGCACAUCAAACAAACCAUUUGACAAGACUAGUAGAAGCGAUCAAAC